GCUGCUCAAAGAAGAGAACUUGGACUAUAAUUCUUAGCGGCAGCCUCUCAUUCUGUGCAGCAUGGGUGCAAGCUUCCAAGGAGAGCUUCUGGCAGUCCAUCAGCCUACAGAGCUGUUCUCUGUCAGACUCUGCCAACCACGGGUGUGCCUUUAGGUAAAUGUCUAUUGCACGAUAAAGACCAUCAUCCAGAGGCCUAGCAUAAUCAGGAACAGCAGCAGCAAGAGCCUGAAACUUGGGAAGCUUCAAAUUCACGUCUGGGGCAACCUCUGCCAGGUAUCCAUCAAUCAGUUUGGCCACCAUUGUGAUUGGUGUUAAUGAUGGUGAUCCAAUCAACUGGCCAUCAUCAACUGAACAUGGAGAGGCCCCACCUGUAAUUUGAUCCAUGGCAAGGAAGUGUUCAAGAAUCCGCUGCACACAGUCAACAUUGUAAAGUGUCUCCAUUGAAUAAGAGAAAUUGGGCAUCAAAAGAUCUUCUAGUGUUGCCUGAUCAAGCUGCAUCCCAAUCCUUUUCUCUAACUUUGAUAAACAAGAGGGGCUUGCUUUCAGAAUCAAGGCCGUCCGAAGUAGACCAAACAGAAACUUGGUUGGGACUAGACCUUUCUGCAUUGGAAGCAACCUAUCAAUAUC
This 628-nucleotide unclassified non-coding RNA is filed under the name Hevea brasiliensis (rubber tree). Lineage: Eukaryota; Viridiplantae; Streptophyta; Magnoliopsida; Malpighiales; Euphorbiaceae. The record is from RNAcentral.